AUUGAACGCUGGCGGAAUGCUUUACACAUGCAAGUCGAACGGUCUCUUUGGCAACCCCUCGAGAGUGGCGAUCGGGUGAGUAAUAUAUCGGAACGUGCCCAGUCGUGGGGGAUAACGUCUUUAAAGUUACGCUAAUACCGCAUACGAUCUAAGGAUGAAAGCGGGGGAUCGCAAGACCGCGCGCGAUUGGAGCGGCCGGUAUCAGAUUAGGUAGUUGGUGGGGUAAAGGCUCACCAAGCCAACGAUCUGUAGCUGGUCUGAGAGGACGACCAGCCACACUGGAACUGAGACACGGUCCAGACUCCUACGGGAGGCAGCAGUGGGGAAUUUUGCAAAAGGCACGCAAGUCUGAUCCAGCCAUUCCGCGUGCAGGAUGACAGACCUCGGGUGGGAAACUGCUUUUGUACGGAACGGAAAGGUCACGCUUAAUCAGGGGGGCUCAUGACGGUACCGUAAGAAUAAGCACCGGCUAACUAAGUGCCAGCCGCCGCGGUAA
Molecule: ribosomal RNA, 496 nt
Filed under: uncultured bacterium
Lineage: Bacteria
Description: partial 16S ribosomal RNA
Rfam family: Bacterial small subunit ribosomal RNA
Source: RNAcentral